Molecule: ribosomal RNA, 464 nt
Filed under: uncultured bacterium
Lineage: Bacteria
Description: partial 16S ribosomal RNA
Rfam family: Bacterial small subunit ribosomal RNA
Source: RNAcentral
GACGAACGCUGGCAGCGUGCUUAACACAUGCAAGUCGAACGGAAAGGCCCUGCUUGCAGGGUACUCGAGUGGCGAACGGGCGAGUAACACGUGGGUGAUCUGCCCUGCACUUCGGGAUAAGUCUGGGCAACUGGGUCUAAUACCGGAUAGGAGCUAUUUUUAGUGUGAUGGUUGGAAAGUUUUUUCGGUGUAGGAUGAGCUCGCGGCCUAUCAGCUUGCUGGUGGGGUAAUGGCCUACCAAGGCGGCGACGGGUAGCCGACCUGAGAGGGUGGACGGCCACAUUGGGACUGAGGUACGGCCCAGACGCCUACGGGAGGCAGCAGUGGGGAGUAUUGCACAGUGGGCGCAAGCCUGAUGCAGCGGCGCCGCGUGGGGGAUGACGGCCUUCGGGUUGUAAACUCCUUUCGCUGGGGACGAAGCUUUUUGUGACGGUACCUAGAUAAGAAGCACCGGCAAACUACGU